AAAUGAUCCGUUGCUUCUCAACUACGGCUGUUUAAGUAGUGAUCUUUUUCUUCUGGACUAUGGAUUCGUCAUUCCAUCAAACCCCUACGACUGCAUCGAACUUAAAUAUGAUGCUGCUCUUCUUGAUGCUGCCAGUAUGGCUGCAGGGUUUACAUCCCCAAACUUCUCCUCGCCAUCCCCAUGGCAGCAGCAGAUUUUAUCGCAUUUAAAUCUAGACGG
RNAcentral lists this unclassified non-coding RNA (219 nucleotides) under Hevea brasiliensis (rubber tree). The record is from RNAcentral. Lineage: Eukaryota; Viridiplantae; Streptophyta; Magnoliopsida; Malpighiales; Euphorbiaceae.